GAUGAAGAACGCAGCGAAAUGCGAUAAGUAAUGUGAAUUGCAGAAUUCAGUGAAUCAUCGAAUCUUUGAACGCACAUUGCGCCCGCCAGUAUUCUGGCGGGCAUGCCUGUUCGAGCGUCAUUUCAACCAUCAAGCCCCCGGCUUGUGUUGGGGACCUGCGGCUGCCGCAGGCCCUGAAAAGCAGUGGCGGGCUCGCUGUCACACCGAGCGUAGUAGCAUACAUCUCUCUCUGGGCGUGCUGCGGGUUCCGGCCGUUAAACCACCUUCAUAACCCAAGGUUGACCUCGGAUCAGGUAGGAAGACCCGCUGAACUUAAGCAUAUCAAUAAGCGGAGGA
This 336-nucleotide unclassified non-coding RNA is filed under the name soil metagenome. RNAcentral describes it as "partial contains 5.8S ribosomal RNA, internal transcribed spacer 2, and large subunit ribosomal RNA". The stretch from base 1 to 120 matches the Rfam family "5.8S ribosomal RNA", at positions 35 to 154 of the family's 154-position model. The record is from RNAcentral.